This 500-nucleotide ribosomal RNA is filed under the name uncultured bacterium. RNAcentral describes it as "partial 16S ribosomal RNA". It matches the Rfam family "Bacterial small subunit ribosomal RNA", at positions 30 to 523 of the family's 1533-position model. The record is from RNAcentral.
AUUGAACGCUGGCGGCAUGCCUUACACAUGCAAGUCGAACGGCAGCACGGGAGCAAUCCUGGUGGCGAGUGGCGAACGGGUGAGUAAAGUAUCGGAACGUGCCCAGUCGUGGGGGAUAACGUAGCGAAAGUUACGCUAAUACCGCAUACGAUCUAUGGAUGAAAGCGGGGGAUCGCAAGACCUCGCGCGAUUGGAGCGGCCGAUAUCAGAUUAGGUAGUUGGUGGGGUAAAGGCUCACCAAGCCGACGAUCUGUAGCUGGUCUGAGAGGACGGCCAGCCACACUGGGACUGAGACACGGCCCAGACUCCUACGGGAGGCAGCAGUGGGGAAUUUUGGACAAUGGGCGAAAGCCUGAUCCAGCCAUGCCGCGUGCAGGAUGAAGGCCUUCGGGUUGUAAACUGCUUUUGUACGGAACGAAAAGGUUUGGGCUAAUAAGCUGAGCUCAUGACGGUACCGUAAGAAUAAGCACCGGCUAACUACGUGCCAGCAGCCGCCGUAA